RNAcentral lists this ribosomal RNA (605 nucleotides) under Exophiala sp. bc_besc_294h. Its description in RNAcentral is "eukaryotic LSU rRNA". The stretch from base 210 to 364 matches the Rfam family "5.8S ribosomal RNA". Lineage: Eukaryota; Fungi; Ascomycota; Eurotiomycetes; Chaetothyriales; Herpotrichiellaceae. The record is from RNAcentral.
CUGCGGAGGAUCAUUAACGAGUUAGGGUCUCUCUGGCCCGACCUCCCAACCCUUUGUCUACUUGACCAUCGUUGCUUCGGCGAGCCCGUCCUCACGGACCGCCGGAGGGAUCUUUACUGGCCCUCUGGUCCGCGCUCGUCGGUAGCCCAACCUUUAAAAUCUUUAACUAAACGUGCCUUAAUCUAAGUACAAUUAUUAAAUAAAAGCAAAACUUUCAACAACGGAUCUCUUGGUUCUGGCAUCGAUGAAGAACGCAGCGAAAUGCGAUAAGUAAUGCGAAUUGCAGAAUUCCAGUGAGUCAUCGAAUCUUUGAACGCACAUUGCGCCCUUUGGUAUUCCGAAGGGCAUGCCUGUUCGAGCGUCAUUAUCACCCCUCAAGCCCUCGGCUUGGUGUUGGACGGUUUGGUGGAGGCCCCCUCGGGGGUUCCUGCCCCUCCCAAAGACAAUGACGGCGGCCUCGUUGGACCCCCGGUACACUGAGUUCUUCACGGGACACGUAUCGGACACAUGGGUUUACGGGACACGGUCUGCCUCCCCUCAGGGAGAAUCUUUCUAAGGUUGACCUCGGAUCAGGUAGGGAUACCCGCUGAACUUAAGCAUAUCAA